AUUCAAAGAGAACAGAGGAAGUAUUGAAAAGCUGCAUUUCAACGCAGCAUUACUGAAGACUGGAAACUUGGGCACGGUUAAUAGUAGAAGAAUCAUCUCAUCAUUGGAACAGAAGACUUCAACAAAAGGGUUCCAAAAUCAAAAAAAGCUAGGUCUGCAUAUUGAAUACAUUCAAGAGAAGGAUAAAUAUGGGUGGCAGUGGUCCUAGUAAAGAAUAUGUUAAAGUAUAUCAUUGUUGCAGAUGCAGCUGUCAAAUCACUGGUGAUUAUGGCACAUACGGCAAUGCAGUUUACUGCCGACCAUGUCAUAAUACUGAAACAGCAGAAAGGGCAAGUGCAGAAGCGAAAAGACAAAAUGAGGAAAUGGAAAUCCAAAAGCAACAACGAGCAAGACAAAAGGAGAUGGAGGAAAGACAACGCAUACAAGGAGAAGCACGAAAAAGAAAGCUGGAAAAAGAAAACGCAGCAAUGAUAACUGCUCAGUAAAGUGCUGUGAGCUUCACAUUCCUUCAGCGUUAUUUGAAGGAUGAGAAUCACAGUUUGUGCUCCACAGUCUUGAACCCUUCAAUACAGAGCAGGCUUCUUAAGCUCUGCAUAGAGACACAUGCAUUAUUCCUGGUAUCAUAUGAAUUUGCAGCUUCUUCUGAUGUCUUGAUAACCCACACAAUUAAAACUAAAGGAUUACAGUUCUUGUGUUGUAUUAAAUAAUGAAUGUUGAUAAACUGUUCACAAUGAGCCGAUGCUAAGAUGCUUUUUUUUACUCUACUUAGACAACACAAUGUUGAUUUUAAAAAGCUUCAACACAUAACUGCUGCAUGCAAAUAAAGAGCUCAUACAUGUAA
Molecule: long non-coding RNA, 841 nt
Organism: Acipenser ruthenus (sterlet)
Lineage: Eukaryota; Metazoa; Chordata; Actinopteri; Acipenseriformes; Acipenseridae
Exons: 2
Source: RefSeq, a predicted model, not a curated record